This 590-nucleotide ribosomal RNA is filed under the name Halicephalobus sp. NKTW1. Its description in RNAcentral is "SSU rRNA". It matches the Rfam family "Eukaryotic small subunit ribosomal RNA", at positions 1026 to 1643 of the family's 1831-position model. Lineage: Eukaryota; Metazoa; Nematoda; Chromadorea; Rhabditida; Panagrolaimidae. The record is from RNAcentral.
CUGACCGUAAACUAUGCCAUCUAACGAGUCGGUAUUGGUUAUUACAUUGCCAUUUUGACGAGUUACCCGGAAACGAAAGUCUUUCGGUUCCGGGGGGAGUAUGGUUGCAAAACUGAAACUUAAAGGGAUUGACGGAAAGUCACCACCAGAAAUGGAGCCUGCGGCUUAAUUUGACUCAACACGGGAAAACUCACCCGGUCUAGACACUAAAAUGAAUGACAGACUGAUAUAUCUCUCAAGAUAUAGUGCAAAGUGGUGCAUGGCCGUUCUUAGUUCGUGGAGUAAUCUGUCUGGUUAAUUUCGAUAACGAACGAGACUAGAACAUAGUUAAUUGUGUAUGGUAUAAUUAGGUAUCAUACGGUGAUAAAUGGAUAUGCAAAAUAAAUUGCCUGAAAACUGGCAAUAACAGGUCUGUUAUGCCCUUAGUUGUCCGGGGCCGCACGCGCGCUACAAUGGAAAUUGCAGUGCGUAUAUACUAUAUCGAAAGAUAUGGUUAAACGUGUCAAAUUAUUCCGCAUUCGGGAUCGGAGACUGUAAUUGUUUUCGUGAACGAGGAACUUCAAGUAAGUGUGUGUCAUUAGCGCACGCUG